GGUUGGACAGGAAUGAAAAGAGAACAUAGAGAUGAGACCAGAAAUGUGGACCUGCUGACCUUGGUAUUGUGGGAUCCUGACACAUACAUUCUCCAGAUUCACUGAGCUAUCACUGGGUGGGCUCUGAGGAGGUUCCUAUGAGGAAAAUAGGGACCUCAGCUUGCCGCCACCACCCACAGAGUAGGCUCAUAGAAUUUCAUCGCAGAAAAGAAUUCAUGACAUACCAAUGAGAAGCAGAAUUAAAUGUGUAUAUGCUCAAAGGAGAACAAUUCUGUGAGAUAUGCACUUCUACUAUCUGCAUUUCGAAGACACAGAAACUGAAGUGUGGAGAGAUGAAUCUGUUUGCCAGAGUAACAGCAACCUCAUUUUGCUUCUUCUUGUGUCCCAUGAGGAAUUCUGUGAUAGCCUGGCCGAUUCUUCAGAAAGCUGCCUCUGUCAUUGGAUCAAGAGGUAAAAGUGGUAAACAUAGAAAACAACUGAAGAUAUUCCAAAGGAACACCCAGUAUGGCGAUUAGGAGACAGAACUUUGGAAACCGCACACUCUGGACUAACUCCCAGCUCUUCACCUCUUAGCUGUAUGAUCUUACGAAGUUGCAUAUUUAGACUCAGGUGAAUCAUCUAUAAAAUGGGGACAAUAAUUCCUAUCUCACAAUAUUAUGAAUAACGAAAAACUCAAUAAAAUGAGUUCAUAUGCAUAAAGUACUUAAAACUGUUUCCAGCAUAUUGAUAAUGCCCCUCUUAAUAAAUAAUCUAUUAUUCAAAUAUUUAUAUUAUCUAGAGCACAUGGGAUAGUGUUUCUACCUGUAAAUUUCAAUUCAAACUUCACAAUUAUAUUAACUCAUAAAGUCAAGCAUAGACUGCCGGUACAUCUCUCUUAGUUACUUUUCUCUUCUCUGAGAAAUACCUAACACCCAAAGUUAAAGGAG
Molecule: long non-coding RNA, 926 nt
Filed under: Heterocephalus glaber (naked mole-rat)
Lineage: Eukaryota; Metazoa; Chordata; Mammalia; Rodentia; Bathyergidae
Description: lncRNA (ENSHGLG00100035447.1)
Source: RNAcentral